AUGCACCGGGGCUUGCCUUAUUACAGGAGGAGAUCUGAGAUCUUCUAUCACGAUAGGCAGUUAGAUGGAGUCCACCACUGGAUCAAUAGCACUGGAGUAGGUUCCAUCUUCACAAGGACCAAUUCUUGUUCUUGGUGUUCUACAUGAAAUGAUAUGAAUAUGGAUAUUUGCUUAAACUAGGAAUAUGCAACUUGCAAAGGAGACAACACAUAUUAUUCCUAGACUUAACAUAUAAGCUAUCAUCACAAGCCAGAACUACCAGGGAGCUACUUAUCCUUAGAAUUCAUCUAACCAUUCACAACUUGCUAAACAAUUUCAUCCUUUACUAAGACAUCAGGUGCCUUAAUUACCGAGGGGUAAAACUCUUUUUCUUUAUUGAGCAAUAAUUAAUUUACUAAGCAAAUCUUGUCCAAACAGUUCCAAACUUUAUCCAAGGGUUCAUAUGCUCAAGAUAAGCUUACACAAAUUUUCCUACAAUUUUUAGUGCUCUAUUUUUAUUACUAAAAUUUCAUAUAAGUUCAUUUAAAGCAGGUUUUAUUCAUCUAAAAAUAUUUAUUUGCUACAAAAACUCCAAAACUAUUUUUACCUGGAACGCUACCAAUUUACCUAUCUAACCAAAUUUGUUUUACUAAUUUAGCACUUUUCCACAAUUUUUGGUAUAAAUAAACAGACAUUAGGUAAAAGAAAAUGCUAAACACAUGAACAGUCUCGGGCCAGAACUAACCCAGCCAGCCCAACUCCAGGCAAAACCGGCCCACUCAGACAGCGCUUACAGCCCUAGGCUCCAGCACCGCGCGCGCCCGCGCUUCCUCUGCGCGUGUCGGCGGCUUCCAACUUCGAUGGUGUUAAGCCGGAACGACGAUGCAGUAGAGUUCCCAACCAUGGUGGAGCAGGCACUUGCGACUCACCACAGAGCAGACCAACCCCAGAUCACGCACGCAACCGGCCCCAGAUAAGGUCUGCCACGGCGAGACCGUUCCCAGCGGCGUUCACCGGCGGCACCGCGGCGUUCCCGACGAGACACUGCAGUAGAGAUGAAAAGGGUAGUGCCAUGAGCUUCACUGGCUUAAGGAGAUUACUGAACGCGAGUGACACGGGUGAGCAACUCCUCGAGACGACACGGCCACAGUGAGAUGAGAAACUGAUGAGCUCAGUCACCAGAAAAGGGAGAUUGGCAUGCGAUGAACAAGAGCAGAUCGAACCUGAUGGCCGGGGAGAGUAAACACCGACGUGAACAUGAACCACAACACUCACACGAUGCACUCUCGCUAGAACUCAAGAACGGGAAGAGACUUCACUGCCCUGGCCCUGCAGCGACUAGAUAAAAGGGUAGUGCAAAGUGAUUGAGCUCGGCCGGUUCACGGUAGAGAAGGCUUUGAUGGCGCCAGCACAACAUGGCUCAAACACGUGGCUAAGCUUCCAAGCCCCACGCCAACAUGCAAGCAACACCAAAGCAUCGAACUUGGGUUGGUUCACAGGCACACCACAAAUAUCCACUCUGCUCAGAAAUUCAGACAUAGAGGAGAGCAGAUAAGGACCCACUGUUCCCAGACAGUCCAAAACUUAGAUAUUUCAGUGGGGAGAGGCAUCUCCCUUGGCCACGCAUUUUACUCUUAUCUCCAUCCACAUAUUUAAAGUAACAUUUGCAGGGAAAAGGAUCUUCUUUAUUUACCAACUGAAACUCUGAAUUCAACCAAAUCAGGCCUGCUGCUCCCAUUCCCCUCCUCACUGUUUAAGCCCUUUGAUUUUAAAUUCCCCUUAACAAUAGACCAGACUUACUUAACCAAAAUUACUCUCCAAACCAAGCUCUAUCACUUUGGUAUAACAACCCAGGGCUAAAAACGUCUUGGAACAAAAACUAUGAUGCCCAAAAGUAGAGAAAAACCAACACUGGCAGCUCAAUCUCAAUUGACUGAAACAGCCCAUACCAAACUAACAUUAAGUUGUGUAACAGAAUUUUCUCUAAUUUCUUCCGAGUAACAAGCCCAACUCUUUAUAUAAAAAUUGUUCACCUUAUAACAACCUCCAACAUUUCUAUGUACUUCUUAAUCUGCAACUUGAUGGAAUGGUCGCAAGAGUGCCCCAAACUGAUUCAAGUUUCAGCUAUCAGCACCUGAAUCCCACACUUUUCUGACAGAACCCCCAUCUUAAUCCCCUUAAAUCUCAUGAUUCCAAAUGGUAACAGUGAAACGACCACAACAUAAAUUGCUCUCCCAACAUCCUUCUACAUCUUUGCUGCAGAAUCCCCAGUCCAAAACUCCAUGGAUUUGGUACUACAGACCUCCAAAGUCGAGCACAAAUUCACAAAAACUCAGUUUGCAGCUAACUGAACCAGAGUUCAGACCAUACCCAACUGACAGAGGAUGUUUAGGUGCAGUUUAUUCUUAGAUUUGUACAGCACUAAGCCUACCUCUCCUUAGAAAACUUACUCACCUUACUUUGGUCUCCAAGUUCUCUACAGAAACUACGGCCUAAAAGUGCAUGGAUUGAUCAACAAGGAGGUCCAAACUGAGCAUCAUACUGAACUUUCAGUUUCAGCUAUUUGAACAAAAAUUCAGUUAGUGCACACUGACAAUCCAUUUUUGGGCAAAUUUUACUUUCCUUUUUGUUUGUGAUCAAGCCCAACUCACUUAAAGGAGUCUGUUCACUAUAAUAUGGUCUUCAACUAAUCUACAGAAACCAUAGUC
This 2687-nucleotide long non-coding RNA is filed under the name Zea mays. RNAcentral's name for it is "long non-coding RNA (ZMAY_LNC003539)". Lineage: Eukaryota; Viridiplantae; Streptophyta; Magnoliopsida; Poales; Poaceae. The record is from RNAcentral.